AACGAACGCUGGCGGCAUGCCUAACACAUGCAAGUCGAACGAGACCUUCGGGUCUAGUGGCGCACGGGUGCGUAACGCGUGGGAAUCUGCCCUUGGGUUCGGAAUAACAGUUGGAAACGACUGCUAAUACCGGAUGAUGACGUAAGUCCAAAGAUUUAUCGCCCAAGGAUGAGCCCGCGUAGGAUUAGCUAGUUGGUGAGGUAAAGGCUCACCAAGGCGACGAUCCUUAGCUGGUCUGAGAGGAUGAUCAGCCACACUGGGACUGAGACACGGCCCAGACUCCUACGGGAGGCAGCAGUGGGGAAUAUUGGACACUGGGCGAAAGCCUGAUCCAGCAAUGCCGCGUGAGUGAUGAAGGCCUUAGGGUUGUAAAGCUCUUUUACCCGGGAUGAUAAUGACAGUACCGGGAGAAUAAGCUCCGGCUAACUCCGUG
Molecule: ribosomal RNA, 433 nt
Filed under: uncultured bacterium
Lineage: Bacteria
Description: partial 16S ribosomal RNA
Rfam family: Bacterial small subunit ribosomal RNA
Source: RNAcentral